GACGAACGCUGGCGGCGUGCUUAACACAUGCAAGUCGAACGUGAUUUUUGUGGAAAUUCUUUCGGGAAUGGAAAUGAAAUGAAAGUGGCGAACGGGUGAGUAACACGUGAGCAACCUACCUUACACAGGGGGAUAGCCGUUGGAAACGACGAUUAAUACCGCAUGAGACCACAGAAUCGCAUGAUAUAGGGGUCAAAGAUUUAUCGGUGUAAGAAGGGCUCGCGUCUGAUUAGCUAGUUGGAAGGGUAAAGGCCUACCAAGGCGACGAUCAGUAGCCGGUCUGAGAGGAUGAACGGCCACAUUGGAACUGGGACACGGUCCAAACUCCUACGGGAGGCAGCAGUGGGGAAUAUUGCACAAUGGGGGGAACCCUGAUGCAGCGACGCCGCGUGAGCGAAGAAGGUUUUCGAAUCGUAAAGCUCUGUCCUAUGAGAAGAUAAUGACGGUAUCAUAGGAGGAAGCCCCGGCUAAAUACGUG
This 478-nucleotide ribosomal RNA is filed under the name uncultured bacterium. Its description in RNAcentral is "partial 16S ribosomal RNA". It matches the Rfam family "Bacterial small subunit ribosomal RNA", at positions 28 to 507 of the family's 1533-position model. The record is from RNAcentral.